UAGAAAACUCAUCUUAUGCAUAGAGUACUUUGAAUUUUUAAUAAUAGUUCAAAUAAUGUGUGAAACUUCAGAUUUUCACCUUUGUACAGGAAAACAUUGUGGACAUCACUGGGAACUCCGCCGAAGACCGUGUCAGUUGUCCGAGGAUAUCCUCUGUCCAUCGUGAGAGUCUUCACAUCAAGCCUGGUAGCAUGAAAUACAAUAUAAUGACCAUUAUUGUUUAAUACAGGCAAAGCAAGUGAGUUUCUCAGAAAGUCUUGGGAAAUUAUUGUCGAUAUAACAUAUUCCUGUAUGUAAAUAUUGGCUUGUAUACCAUUCUUCUUGUAUAUUGUUUCCCAGCAUAUAUAUUUUUAGCAUUUUGUACUUUUGCACAUUUAUAAAAUUGUUGGCGUUUGCUGCUGCUGGAAGUGCAUUUUCCUGAGGGAACCUUCCCGAGGGAUUAAUAAAGUUCAUAUUCACCCAUUCAUCCAUCAAUCAGAGGUUUGCCUGUUUUUGUUAUGUUUGCAGGUUUUCUUCAACCACCAUGUUUGCACCCAAGCAUAAAGGUUCAGUGCCCAGCGAAUCUCACCUCCAGUAGUUCUCCCCGUUGAAGAGCAGGACUUUGCUCCCCUUUCUCUGCACGGAUCCCUCCACCGUCUGAACACUGCUCGGCAGGCCCAGCUUCUCGAUGCUGCGGGGUCCAAGUACCUUCUUGCCAGUGUACACCCAGAACUGAGUUCCUUUGAACACAAUUGGAAACAUUUAUGUUAAUGCAGGGGGCAGGAUAGUGUAGUGGCUACUAGUGUUACAAUCCCAGCCAUAAGGUGCUUGGUUUGAUCCUCAAUGUCCGCAGCCUACCUCUGUGGGCAACAUUGAACAAAAUGCUUAACCCCUACUUACUCCUCAGUGCAAUGUAUCUUCUUCACUUUGAUUGAGAUAAGAUAAACGUGGCUGCUAAAUAAUUAAAUAUAACUGCAAUUGAUUUAUGUGUUUCAUAAGCAAACUGAGGGAAGAUCGCUCACCUGCAAAGAAGUACAUCUUUUUGGUUUCCGGGUCCUCAAAGGCAGAGUCAAUCUUAGCUGGCAGGGCCGGCCACCCCUCAGAAAUAGCAAAUGGACCCUUAGCCUUAUCGCUGUUGGUCUUUUUCCAGUAAUAUCUGAUGGAGAAAAUAUUAUUAUUAAAAGUUAGAACAAAGGCCCCGCAAUUUCCAAUGUAUGUUUUCUUUCCUGAACGUAGACAGACAGGUACAUUGCGUAUUGACCUACCCAUCCUUGAAGAAGUGCAGCACAUUCCCAAUCUCAGUGAUUGCGUCAAAGGUCGUGACCUGGCAGACAUCAUUGUCUGGACCUACAGGUGUCGGUGUGGUGGUUGUUGUUGGUCUGGUGGUCGUCGUGGUGAUGGGACCCGGGGGACUGGGGUCCGGGCCGGUUUUAGGUCCUGGGGAAAUACAAUUUUAGAAUUGGAGGAUAAUGUUUGCUUGUCAUCGAAUUUGCAAUAUUUAUUGAGAACUAUACUGAAUGAUUUUUUGUUUUUAUUUUAAGCAAGUGGGCUUACCGUAGAGAUACUGAAUGCCUUCAACGUCGUCCUCAUUUAGGGAAAAGUUCUCAAUGAAUCUGUACAUGGGAAACAUAAGUGCGUCUCUGACUUUGGAGUGGUCCAGGCCCAGGGCAUGUCCAAACUCGUGGGCUGCUACCAGGAACAGACUGUACCCUGGGGGGGGCAGAAAAAGAGCCACUUAAAAUUAAGAAAUCAUCAUUCAACAUUCAAUCUGUCAUCUUAUAAGAAGAAGACUCAGUGUUGCAUUAAUAGUCUUUUUUUUUUUUACUCACCUUGGUCAGGACAGAAUCCCCAUUUGGUGUCGGUGUCAAAGUUAUCAGUGGUGGCACACCAUAGCCUUCCGUCAUUGCGUCCCUCGCUAGUGCAGGAGUCGUACGAAUUCCCCUGGAACUGGAAGGGGAAGCGACAAGACUCGCCCUCUGAAUUUCCUCCGACCACAGCCGUUUCUGGUGGAGCAAAGAAAUUCGAUUUUACAAUUUUAAAAAAGUAUAAGAGGAAAAAGACAAUGUGCUGUGUGGGCAGUAAUUCAUCGAUCAUACACCAGGCAAAGGUGACGUCGUUGUGGUCCCAUUUGAGGUCUCCGUCGAAGGACUGGUAGCUGCCAAUGUCUGGGACCCCACAGCGGGGGCGUUUCAUGGUGUCCAGCGUGGUCUUGUCCAGCAGUCCGGUCUCCUCCAGACCCAUCUGCCUCUGCAGCGUCUUCAGAGCUUUGGACGUGGAAACAUCGCUGCGCUGCGGAGACUCCAUAUAGCCAAACCUCUUCAGUCAUGUUUUUGAUGACAUCUCCCGGGAAGGUGACGAACACAGACUUGACAGGAAGGCUCAACGUCUCCAUUGUGCACAUCCCCAAAACCAGCAACGCUAUCGCAGUGGACCUCAUGUUGAGGUCAAAACAAACUGAGCUGUGGCUGGAAAGAACUCAGGCAGAGAGGAGCAGAUCCACUAAAAACUAAAACACCCAACAGAGUAAACUAUCUCAAUGUGUUGGCUUCUCUCCUUUGUUUUGACGAGUGGUGAGUGUUGUUCUCCUUUGUGCACUCCUAGGGCAGCACUGCUGUAUUUAUGCACCAUAGAGUCUUAGUCACUAGACCUCAGCCCCUCUUACACCCAACCUCAGACCUCCCCUUUAGAAGCGUAUAAUGAUACCCUGGAAUGGAGUUCCUAACUGGCCCCAUUUAGCCUUUCCAAAGAAAAAGAGAAAUGUGAUUGUUUUUUUCUCUUUUUGUUAAAAUUUAAAGGGGGUGGAUUGUUAGUUAGUGCAUGGUUAAUCUAAUUACAGUCACUAAAACAAAUGUUUCACUUCAAAAUGGCAAAACAGUAUUGACACAUGGAAUGGUUUGGUUAAAAUCCCUGUUACACUUUAUAUGUAUGUAUCAAUGUCCAACUGCUGUAUUGACCCUACAUGUGUCAAUGCUUUAGUGUUUGAAUAAAGGUUAGCUUCCCUCUGCCAGCUGUGGUGAUUGUGUAAGGUAUCACUCUUGCUGGGAACCGGAUAAUUGUACUCAUGCAGAGGAUUAUUUUUUUUUAUAAACGUAUACUGGAUAAGAACUCUUCUUAUGAACAGGUCAUGACAGUUUUAGGAAGAAAAAAAAACAUCUUGCAUUACCAUGUCUACAACAAGCUCAAAAGCUUAAAUUUGAUUUCUAAAAAAAGUGGACAAAUUGGACAAACAAACUACAAAAUGGUGUUUGUAUGGAAGCAAAUAUAGGAACAUGAUAACAACCUUAUGAUUGUCUAGAACCUGACCCUUUUUUGUAAGUAUAAAUGCAUUUUUACAAUUAUUUUGAUGAGAAGACUCGUCAAAUUCCCAAAUAUUUGGAACGCAAAAUGAUGGAGCAAUAAAAUCCUAGUAAGUAGAUGGCGAUAUUUUUGUCUACAUAUGCAGGAAAUAAAUGUUAUAUCAUAGCUAGUCUAUGUCGAGAUGAAUGCAAUUUCAAACUUGAGGAUCAAUGCUCCUCAAGUCAGGUCUGAGCUUGGAAAGACAGCUUUUUGCUUCAGUGCCACUUACUCCUGGAACAACUUACAGCAACAAAUUACAAUUAAUACCUUCAUAUCCUAUAUCCAAUUUAGACAUAUUAUCUUAAAUCUGCCAUCUCUACCUGUAACUGUUUUAAUAAAGCUAUAUCACUUAUUUCAUUUUAAUUCCAGCCAUUCUACACCUCUGUGUAAAUGUUCAAAUUGUUUUUAGUUUUUUUUCUCUUCAUCAGUUGUUGUAUAGGCCUAUUUUAUGUAUUUGCAUUGUUUAUUGUGUAUGUAUGGUUGUUUUUGCUUUGCAUUUGUUUGACUCGACAUCAUUGCAAAUGAGGGUCACCCCUGAAUUGAUCUUUCGAGUAUAA
Gadus chalcogrammus (walleye pollock) is the source of this 3872-nucleotide long non-coding RNA. RefSeq lists it as uncharacterized. The record is from RefSeq and is a predicted model, not a curated record. The transcript is spliced from 3 exons. NCBI's taxonomy places the organism in Eukaryota, Metazoa, Chordata, Actinopteri, Gadiformes, Gadidae.